CAAAAACAUGUCUUUUAGAAAAUAAUUUAAAGUCUAACCUGCCCACUGAUUUUAUAUUUAAAGGCCGCAGUAUUUUGACUGUGCAAAGGUAGCAUAAUCAUUUGUCUUUUAAUUGAAGGCUGGAAUGAAUGGUUGAAUGAAGUAUUAACUGUCUCAUUUUAAUAAAUUAAGAAUUUAGCUUUUAAAUAAAAAGGUUUAAAUAAAAUUAAAAGACGAGAAGACCCUAUAGAUUUUUAUAUUAUUUAAUUUAAUUUAAUUAAGAAAUAAAUUUUAUUAUUAUUUUAAAUAAUAUUUGAUUGGGGUGAUUAAAAAAUUAAACAAACUUUUUUAUAUAAAAACAUAAAUUAAUGAUUAAUUGAUCCAAUUAUAUUGAUUAAAAGAUUAAAUUACCUUAGGGAUAACAGCGUAAUUUUUUUAGAGAGUUCAUAUCGAUAAAAAAGAUUGCGACCUCGAUGUUGAAUUAAAGGUUAUUUUUAAAUGUAGUAGUUUAAAGUUUAAGUCUGUUCGACUUUUAAAUCUUUACAUGAUCUGAGUCCAAACCCGGA
RNAcentral lists this ribosomal RNA (545 nucleotides) under Conchopterella stangei. RNAcentral's name for it is "partial 16S ribosomal RNA". It matches the Rfam family "Bacterial large subunit ribosomal RNA", at positions 1808 to 2621 of the family's 2925-position model. Lineage: Eukaryota; Metazoa; Arthropoda; Insecta; Neuroptera; Hemerobiidae. The record is from RNAcentral.